ACAGAAACGCCGCUUGGCCUUUGGACUACACCAUCUGUCGCUCGCUCUAACGAGCCGGCGUUGCCGCCAGGGGACGCUCGGGCCGCAGGAGGUCGCUGGGUCGUGAGCUGGCGCCGGGGACGCCGAGCGACUGCGGGGUUUCCCUCAGCGUCCUGCUAUCCGGCUGCCCGCCGCGCUCCUUGGUAGUGUCCGUGGGCGCGCAGGCCUUGAAGAACCUCCUCGUGGCGGGACCCCGAGGUAACUGCUGAGGCAGAUAAUGGCGCCUGGGCUGCGGUGGGGCUUGUCCUGCCGCCUGGCGGCUUUCUGCAGGGCCAGGAUAUACUUACUUUUCUGUAAACCAACUCUUCCUUAGCGCAGGAGAGGUGUCAAAGAGCUGGCGCGUCUCCAGAGCCCCGGGAGGAAGGCUGUAACGGCAGCCCCAUCGUAGACAGGGACAUUCGCAUCCCGAGCCCUGGAUCUCUGAAAACCAGCCCAGAAUUUGGAAGCUGGAAGGAACUUUAGAUCGUCCAUUCUGAGUGUCUCUCUUCGCUGGCGUUUUCCCACUGAGGUUAUGUAAACAUGAAGAGGAGCCUACAAGUGUCAAGGAAAAAACGACAGCUAACCACAGGGCAGGCCAUGGGCAAGAUAUCUCAGUGUUCUCCGCUCUCAUAGGUCAGAGACUAAAAGUUCUUCUGAAGAGCAGGCAAUGUUGGAUGGGGGGAAGCAAAUGGAGGAGCGAGCCACUCCUGAAUUGACUAAAAGGCUGGAGUGCAGUGGCACGAUCACAGUUCACUGCAGCUUUGUUCCUGGACUCAAGUGAUCCUCCCACCUCAGCCUCCCAAGCAGCUGGAACUACAGGUCACGACCCCCAGGAGACCUGGAGGACUGAAUGCUGCUGCCCCCAAGGAGGAGGCUGCCGUCUUAUCCCAGGAGGGAGAGCAGAACCUGCCUGAUCUCACUGCUGGAUCCCUCUUCUUCCUGCCAGGAAAAUAAAAAGGUUCAAAAGGAAGUUGCUGCGUAUCCAUCUGAGGCCUCUGAGGACAGCAAAGAGCAAAGGCCCUGGGACCGGGUCUACGUGCCCAUGACAGAGCUCUGGCUGGACUGGUUCUGAGC
RNAcentral lists this long non-coding RNA (1092 nucleotides) under Homo sapiens (human). RNAcentral describes it as "non-protein coding NDUFA6-DT:50". Lineage: Eukaryota; Metazoa; Chordata; Mammalia; Primates; Hominidae. The record is from RNAcentral.